UGUCCUGGACCCGAAGCGGGAUGAUCUAGCCCUGGGCAGGUUGAAGCGCGGGUAAGACCGCGUGGAGGACCGAACCCACCUGGGUUGAAAACCGGGGGGAUGACCUGGGGCUAGGGGUGAAAGGCCAAUCAAAUUCCGUGAUAGCUGGUUCUCUCCGAAAUGCAUUUAGGUGCAGCGUCGGUCGAUUGCGUCGCGGGGGUAGAGCUACCGGAUGCUUGCGGGCCCUUGUUGGGUACCAACAGCAGCCGAACUCCGAAUACCGUUGACGUGUAUUCCGGCAGUGAGUCGGCGGGGGAUAAGCUCCGUCGUCGAGAGGGAGACAGCCCAGACCGUCGUCUAAGGUCCCGAAGCGUGUGCUAAGUGGGAAAGGAUGUGGAGUCGCAUAGACAGCCAGGAGGUUGGCUCAGAAGCAGCCAUCCUUGAAAGAGUGCGUAACAGCUCACUGGUCUAGUGGUUCCGCGCCGACAAUGUAGCGGGGCUCAAGCACACCACCGAAGACGCGGCAGCAAUCUUCAUGGUUGCUGGGUAGGAGAGCGUCCUGCGAGGGGCGAAGCGGCGGUGGAAACCGGCCGUGGACUUCGUGGGAGUGAGAAUGCAGACAUGAGUAGCGAGAGACGGGUGAGGAUCCCGUCCGCUGGAUGACCAAGGGUUCCGGGGCCACGUUCGUCGUCCCCGGGUGAGUCGGGUCCUAAGGCGAGGCCGACAGGCGUAGUCGAAUGGAUGAACGGGUGGAUAUUCCCGUACCGACCAUGGACCGGCAAAACCGAGACGGUGAGUACUAACCUCCGCCUCGUGGUGGUUCCUUCCUUCGGGUUGGUUCCGCCGCGUGGUGUUGGGACCGUAGCCGCAGUAGGUCAGCGCAGGGGUGACACGGAAUGGGAGCCGGCCGCGGAGGUGGUUUUCCGUGGUCAAGCACGCAGCCAGUCAUGUAGGCAAAUCCGCAUGGCGCGCAUGGCGAGGUGUGAUGAUGGGAGCCGUUAUGGCUCGAUAUCCGGUUGUCCAGGCCGUCGAGAAAAGCCUCGGCGUGAGGGCCAUGGCCGCCCGUACCCCAAACCGACACUGGUGGUCAGGUAGAGAAUACCAAGGCGAUCGAGCGAAUCCUGGUCAAGGAACUCGGCAAAUCACUCCCGUGCCUUCGGUAUAAGGGAGACCCGCUGGGGUGAACCGGCUAGCCCGGGGAGCUUUGGUGGGUGGCACAGACCAGGGGGUAGCGACUGUUUACCAAAAACACAGGUGCAUGCGAAGGCGAAAGCCGCUGUAUAUGCACUGACGCCUGCCCGGUGCCGGAAGGUUAAGAGGAUCCGUCAGUCCUUCGGGAUGAAGCGGUGAAUUCAAGCCCCGGUAAACGGCGGUGGUAACUAUAACCAUCCUAAGGUAGCGAAAUUCCUUGUCGGGUAAGUUCCGACCUGCACGAAUGGCGUAACGACUUCCCCACUGUCUCGACCAGGAGCUCGGCGAAAUUGCAGUACGAGUAAAGAUGCUCGUUAAGCGCAGAAGGACGAAAAGACCCCGGGACCUUUACUAUACCUUGGUAUUGGCGUUAGGCGCGGAUUGUGUAGCAUAGGCGGGAGGCUUCGAAGCGUGGGCGCCAGCUCAUGUGGAGCCGCAAGGUGAAAUACCGCUCUGUUCUCGUUUGACGUCUAACCUCGACAAGUCAUCCUUGUCAGGGACAGUGCCUGGCGGGUAGUUCAACUGGGGCGGUUGCCUCCCAAAGAGUAACGGAGGCGCUCAAAGGUCCGCUCAGCCCGGUUGGCAAUCGGGUGUCGAGUGUAAUCGCACAAGCGGGCUUGACUGCGAGGACGACGGUCCGAGCAGGGACGAAAGUCGGAGAUAGUGAUCCGGUGCCGGCGCACGGGCGCGGCAUCGCUCAACGGAUAAAAGGUACCCCGGGGAUAACAGGCUGAUCAUUCCCAAGAGUCCAUAUCGACGGGAUGGUUUGGCACCUCGAUGUCGGCUCGUCGCAUCCUGGGGCUGGAGCAGGUCCCAAGGGUUCGGCUGUUCGCCGAUUAAAGCGGCACGCGAGCUGGGUUCAGAACGUCGUGAGACAGUUUGGUCUCUAUCCUCUGCGCUCGUUGGAAUCCUGAGGAGGCCUGCCCAUAGUACGAGAGGACCUGGGUGGACGAACCUCUGGUAUGCCGGU
RNAcentral lists this ribosomal RNA (2140 nucleotides) under gut metagenome. RNAcentral's name for it is "bacterial LSU rRNA". It matches the Rfam family "Bacterial large subunit ribosomal RNA", at positions 705 to 2721 of the family's 2925-position model. The record is from RNAcentral.